Molecule: ribosomal RNA, 47 nt
Filed under: Ozothamnus scaber
Lineage: Eukaryota; Viridiplantae; Streptophyta; Magnoliopsida; Asterales; Asteraceae
Description: partial 28S ribosomal RNA
Source: RNAcentral
ACCGCGACCCCAGGUCAGGCGGGAUUACCCGCUGAGUUUAGCAUAUC